GUCACAUUUCAACACUUUCUCUCUCAUAUAUCCUGGAUCUAGAUAUUAGUCAACAUUUUAUUUUUCACAUCUUCAAGAUCUAGAUCUGAAGAAAAAUCAAAGAGAUUCUCUCAUGAGACUCAAAGAUAAUAAUAAGAUUUUUAUUUGUUGGCCUCAAGAUUUUAAUCGCCUUAUUCGGAACAAAUGAUGAGAGACCAUUUUAUCAUCUCCACUAAAAGGUGGUGAUUCUGGUGGAGUUUCAAAAUGUAGACCCACAUCAAACAUAUCUUGAUUUCAGUACACCACUCAAAGAAGACGAUGAUGACUUGCCGUUAUCUCCACGUACGGAUUAUAAGGAAGGAUAAGUACCAACAAGAUAUAAAGCAGGAACUCAAGUUUUGACCAUGUUACACAUGUUACAAACAAGUUGUAACAUGUUACAAACAAGUUGCAACAUGUGUAACACAAUAUUAAUGUGUUAUACAUAUAUGUAACACAUGUAACAUUCGUAGCAACAUGUUAAUUUGACAAAUAUAUAUUUUAUUUUUUUUUACAACUACAUAUGCAACAACCCUUUUGUUAAAUAAGUAAUAAAUUGCUAGGUGGUAUCUUUGUUUUUUGAAGUUACACACAUGGCAAAAAAGAAUGAUGUGACCAACAUUUUAUAAGGUAAAAUUUGCUAUUAUUUAGUCACUUCUUACACAAAUUACUAUUGUUGCGUUCGAACACUUUAAAUAUUUUAUUCCAAAAAAAGUCACUUGUCAUAUGUAAUGACACUUUAAUAAAUAUGUAUCACACCCCAACUGAUGGCGGAAACAUCAGGAUGAGACGAAAUAGAUUGUAAGAGACAUCAUAACGCUAUUUGUGUCAAGUAUUUAAUGAUUUCAUUUUACAUUGUUUGAACUAGAAAUACCACAAGUUAGAAAAUAUUCGACAAGUAUUAAAGUAAAUAAAUUUCAUUUUAUAAUAAUGGUUUAUUACAAGAUUGGAAACAAAU
Molecule: long non-coding RNA, 976 nt
Filed under: Helianthus annuus (common sunflower)
Lineage: Eukaryota; Viridiplantae; Streptophyta; Magnoliopsida; Asterales; Asteraceae
Source: RNAcentral